Molecule: ribosomal RNA, 382 nt
Filed under: uncultured bacterium
Lineage: Bacteria
Description: bacterial SSU rRNA
Rfam family: Bacterial small subunit ribosomal RNA
Source: RNAcentral
AUUGAACGCUGGCGGCAUGCCUUACACAUGCAAGUCGAACGGCAGCACGGGAGCAAUCCUGGUGGCGAGUGGCGAACGGGUGAGUAAUGUAUCGGAACGUACCUUUCAGUGGGGGAUAACGUAGCGAAAGUUACGCUAAUACCGCAUAUUCUGUGAGCAGGAAAGCAGGGGAUCGCAAGACCUUGCGCUGAUUGAGCGGCCGAUAUCAGAUUAGCUAGUUGGUGAGGUAAAGGCUCACCAAGGCGACGAUCUGUAGCGGGUCUGAGAGGAUGAUCCGCCACACUGGAACUGAGACACGGUCCAGACUCCUACGGGAGGCAGCAGUGGGGAAUUUUGGACAAUGGGCGCAAGCCUGAUCCAGCCAUGCCGCGUGAGUGAAGAA